UUAAGCGACUAAGCGUACACGGUGGAUGCCCUGGCAGUCAGAGGCGAUGAAGGACGUGCUAAUCUGCGAUAAGCGUCGGUAAGGUGAUAUGAACCGUUAUAACCGGCGAUUUCCGAAUGGGGAAACCCAGUGUGUUUCGACACACUAUCAUUAACUGAAUCCAUAGGUUAAUGAGGCGAACCGGGGGAACUGAAACAUCUAAGUACCCCGAGGAAAAGAAAUCAACCGAGAUUCCCCCAGUAGCGGCGAGCGAACGGGGAGGAGCCCAGAGCCUGAAUCAGUGUGUGUGUUAGUGGAAGCGUCUGGAAAGGCGCGCGAUACAGGGUGACAGCCCCGUACACAAAAAUGCACAUGCUGUGAGCUCGAUGAGUAGGGCGGGACACGUGGUAUCCUGUCUGAAUAUGGGGGGACCAUCCUCCAAGGCUAAAUACUCCUGACUGACCGAUAGUGAACCAGUACCGUGAGGGAAAGGCGAAAAGAACCCCGGCGAGGGGAGUGAAAAAGAACCUGAAACCGUGUACGUACAAGCAGUGGGAGCACGCUUAGGCGUGUGACUGCGUACCUUUUGUAUAAUGGGUCAGCGACUUAUAUUCUGUAGCAAGGUUAACCGAAUAGGGGAGCCGAAGGGAAACCGAGUCUUAACUGGGCGUUAAGUUGCAGGGUAUAGACCCGAAACCCGGUGAUCUAGCCAUGGGCAGGUUGAAGGUUGGGUAACACUAACUGGAGGACCGAACCGACUAAUGUUGAAAAAUUAGCGGAUGACUUGUGGCUGGGGGUGAAAGGCCAAUCAAACCGGGAGAUAGCUGGUUCUCCCCGAAAGCUAUUUAGGUAGCGCCUCGUGAAUUCAUCUCCGGGGGUAGAGCACUGUUUCGGCAAGGGGGUCAUCCCGACUUACCAACCCGAUGCAAACUGCGAAUACCGGAGAAUGUUAUCACGGGAGACACACGGCGGGUGCUAACGUCCGUCGUGAAGAGGGAAACAACCCAGACCGCCAGCUAAGGUCCCAAAGUCAUGGUUAAGUGGGAAACGAUGUGGGAAGGCCCAGACAGCCAGGAUGUUGGCUUAGAAGCAGCCAUCAUUUAAAGAAAGCGUAAUAGCUCACUGGUCGAGUCGGCCUGCGCGGAAGAUGUAACGGGGCUAAACCAUGCACCGAAGCUGCGGCAGCGACGCUGAUGCGUUGUUGGGUAGGGGAGCGUUCUGUAAGCCUGUGAAGGUGUGCUGUGAGGCAUGCUGGAGGUAUCAGAAGUGCGAAUGCUGACAUAAGUAACGAUAAAGCGGGUGAAAAGCCCGCUCGCCGGAAGACCAAGGGUUCCUGUCCAACGUUAAUCGGGGCAGGGUGAGUCGACCCCUAAGGCGAGGCCGAAAGGCGUAGUCGAUGGGAAACAGGUUAAUAUUCCUGUACUUGGUGUUACUGCGAAGGGGGGACGGAGAAGGCUAUGUUGGCCGGGCGACGGUUGUCCCGGUUUAAGCGUGUAGGCUGGUUUUCCAGGCAAAUCCGGAAAAUCAAGGCUGAGGCGUGAUGACGAGGCACUACGGUGCUGAAGCAACAAAUGCCCUGCUUCCAGGAAAAGCCUCUAAGCAUCAGGUAACAUCAAAUCGUACCCCAAACCGACACAGGUGGUCAGGUAGAGAAUACCAAGGCGCUUGAGAGAACUCGGGUGAAGGAACUAGGCAAAAUGGUGCCGUAACUUCGGGAGAAGGCACGCUGAUAUGUAGGUGAAGUCCCUCGCGGAUGGAGCUGAAAUCAGUCGAAGAUACCAGCUGGCUGCAACUGUUUAUUAAAAACACAGCACUGUGCAAACACGAAAGUGGACGUAUACGGUGUGACGCCUGCCCGGUGCCGGAAGGUUAAUUGAUGGGGUCAGCGCAAGCGAAGCUCUUGAUCGAAGCCCCGGUAAACGGCGGCCGUAACUAUAACGGUCCUAAGGUAGCGAAAUUCCUUGUCGGGUAAGUUCCGACCUGCACGAAUGGCGUAAUGAUGGCCAGGCUGUCUCCACCCGAGACUCAGUGAAAUUGAACUCGCUGUGAAGAUGCAGUGUACCCGCGGCAAGACGGAAAGACCCCGUGAACCUUUACUAUAGCUUGACACUGAACAUUGAGCCUUGAUGUGUAGGAUAGGUGGGAGGCUUAGAAGUGUGGACGCCAGUCUGCAUGGAGCCGACCUUGAAAUACCACCCUUUAAUGUUUGAUGUUCUAACGUUGACCCGUAAUCCGGGUUGCGGACAGUGUCUGGUGGGUAGUUUGACUGGGGCGGUCUCCUCCUAAAGAGUAACGGAGGAGCACGAAGGUUGGCUAAUCCUGGUCGGACAUCAGGAGGUUAGUGCAAUGGCAUAAGCCAGCUUGACUGCGAGCGUGACGGCGCGAGCAGGUGCGAAAGCAGGUCAUAGUGAUCCGGUGGUUCUGAAUGGAAGGGCCAUCGCUCAACGGAUAAAAGGUACUCCGGGGAUAACAGGCUGAUACCGCCCAAGAGUUCAUAUCGACGGCGGUGUUUGGCACCUCGAUGUCGGCUCAUCACAUCCUGGGGCUGAAGUAGGUCCCAAGGGUAUGGCUGUUCGCCAUUUAAAGUGGUACGCGAGCUGGGUUUAGAACGUCGUGAGACAGUUCGGUCCCUAUCUGCCGUGGGCGCUGGAGAACUGAGGGGGGCUGCUCCUAGUACGAGAGGACCGGAGUGGACGCAUCACUGGUGUUCGGGUUGUCAUGCCAAUGGCACUGCCCGGUAGCUAAAUGCGGAAGAGAUAAGUGCUGAAAGCAUCUAAGCACGAAACUUGCCCCGAGAUGAGUUCUCCCUGACCCUUUAAGGGUCCUGAAGGAACGUUGAAGACGACGACGUUGAUAGGCCGGGUGUGUAAGCGCAGCGAUGCGUUGAGCUAACCGGUACUAAUGAACCGUGAGGCUUAACCUU
RNAcentral lists this ribosomal RNA (2902 nucleotides) under Escherichia coli HVH 121 (4-6877826). RNAcentral's name for it is "bacterial LSU rRNA". It matches the Rfam family "Bacterial large subunit ribosomal RNA". Lineage: Bacteria; Pseudomonadati; Pseudomonadota; Gammaproteobacteria; Enterobacterales; Enterobacteriaceae. The record is from RNAcentral.